RNAcentral lists this ribosomal RNA (500 nucleotides) under uncultured bacterium. RNAcentral's name for it is "partial 16S ribosomal RNA". It matches the Rfam family "Bacterial small subunit ribosomal RNA", at positions 30 to 523 of the family's 1533-position model. The record is from RNAcentral.
AUUGAACGCUGGCGGCAGGCCUAACACAUGCAAGUCGAGCGGUAGAGAGAAGCUUGCUUCUCUUGAGAGCGGCGGACGGGUGAGUAAAGCCUAGGAAUCUGCCUGGUAGUGGGGGAUAACGUUCGGAAACGGACGCUAAUACCGCAUACGUCCUACGGGAGAAAGCAGGGGACCUUCGGGACUUGCGCUAUCAGAUGAGCCUAGGUCGGAUUAGCUAGUUGGUGAGGUAAGGGCUCACCAAGGCGACGAUCCGUAACUGGUCUGAGAGGAUGAUCAGUCACACUGGAACUGAGACACGGUCCAGACUCCUACGGGAGGCAGCAGUGGGGAAUAUUGGACAAUGGGCGAAAGCCUGAUCCAGCCAUGCCGCGUGUGUGAAGAAGGUCUUCGGAUUGUAAAGCACUUUAAGUUGGGAGGAAGGGCAUUAACCUAAUACGUUAGUGUUUUGACGUUACCGACAGAAUAAGCACCGGCUAACUCUGUGCCAGCCGCCGCGGUAA